UCAGUGUUGACUGACGUCAGAGUGAGCAUCUCUCUGAGGAGUCUGUAACUUAGAAACGUUCUGGCGCGGAGUGUCAGUUCACACACAUCAUUAUCACACCUAACAACAUUUGGAAGAGAUGAGCUAGACUUCAAGUUGAACUUGUAAAGAAAACAUUAAAGUGGAACGAUGCUGUGACUGCUAUUCUCUGGACUGCGAUAUGUUGCUGAGCGGAUAGCUUCUUGCUGUGGCUCUUCACAGAAGCACAGAACAGCAACAGGAUGCCUUUUCCAGUGUAAAGGACAGAAAGUGUGGACAGUCUCCUGUGAUGAGACAACAAAGAGUAAAUAUCCAUCCUAAGUGGACAGAAGAGAUGCCCACAUUUCCCCAUCAUCUUAUUUAUCUCUGAACCUGCAGCAUGUUGAUGUGUAGUUGCUUGGUACUUGUUAUAAUGAUGACUUGUCCAAAAACUUCUUGUAGGGAAGCUGGAUAAUGUCUGACAGCCGACAAGUGGCUCAGAAGUGACUCACAAUCUACUGUAUGUAACAAUACAACAACAACAACUGUGUCAUUAAAGUGUCCUUACACCGUUUCUCCAGAAGAGGCCCAACUUCUUUCUUCAGACUCUUUUUUCUGAGUGUGUGGCGUCAUCAUGUGGAAGAAAAAACAACUGCAGGAGACACUUACCU
Molecule: long non-coding RNA, 668 nt
Organism: Larimichthys crocea (large yellow croaker)
Lineage: Eukaryota; Metazoa; Chordata; Actinopteri; Sciaenidae
Exons: 3
Source: RefSeq, a predicted model, not a curated record